GCGAAGCGGGAAGAAGCUCCAAAUUUUAUUAAUCUGGCACCUUCGGUGUCCGAGUUGUAAUCUCUAGAAAUGUUUUCCGCGUUGGACCGCACACAAGUCUGUUGGAAUACAGCGGCAUAGUGGUGAGACCCCCGUAUAUGGUGCGGACGCCCAGCGCUUUGUGAUACAUUUUCGAAGAGUCGAGUUGUUUGGGAAUGCAGCUCAAAUUGGGUGGUAAAUUCCAUCUAAAGCUAAAUAUUGGCGAGAGACCGAUAGCGAACAAGUACCGUGAGGGAAAGAUGAAAAGCACUUUGGAAAGAGAGUUAACAGUACGUGAAAUUGUUGGAAGGGAAACGCUUGAAGUCAGACUUGCUUGCCGAGCAAUCGGUUUGCAGGCCAGCAUCAGUUUUCCGGGAUGGAUAAUGGUAGAGAGAAGGUAGCAGUUUCGGCUGUGUUAUAGCUCUCUGCUGGAUACAUCUUGGGGGACUGAGGAACGCAGUGUGCCUUU
This 487-nucleotide ribosomal RNA is filed under the name Rhodotorula mucilaginosa. RNAcentral describes it as "eukaryotic LSU rRNA". It matches the Rfam family "Eukaryotic large subunit ribosomal RNA", at positions 93 to 572 of the family's 3401-position model. Lineage: Eukaryota; Fungi; Basidiomycota; Microbotryomycetes; Sporidiobolales; Sporidiobolaceae. The record is from RNAcentral.